UACGGAGGAUGCAAGCGUUAUCCGGAAUGAUUGGGCGUAAAGCGUCCGCAGGUGGCUAUGUAAGUCUGCUGUUAAAGAGUGAGGCUCAACCUCAUAAGAGCAGUGGAAACUACAUGGCUAGAGUGCGUUCGGGGCAGAGGGAAUUCCUGGUGUAGCGGUGAAAUGCGUAGGGAUCAGGAAGAACACCGGUGGCGAAAGCGCUCUGCUAGGCCGCAACUGACACUCAUGGACGAAAGCUAGGGGAGCGAAUGGG
This 253-nucleotide ribosomal RNA is filed under the name uncultured bacterium. Its description in RNAcentral is "partial 16S ribosomal RNA". It matches the Rfam family "Bacterial small subunit ribosomal RNA", at positions 524 to 776 of the family's 1533-position model. The record is from RNAcentral.